GGGUAGAUGUCCGAGUGGUUGAAGGAGCACGCCUGGAACGCGUGUAGGUGUAACAGCCUCGUGGGUUCGAAUCCCACUUUACCCGCCA
Molecule: transfer RNA, 88 nt
Filed under: Campylobacter pinnipediorum subsp. pinnipediorum
Lineage: Bacteria; Pseudomonadati; Campylobacterota; Epsilonproteobacteria; Campylobacterales; Campylobacteraceae
Also listed under: 1 other name
Description: tRNA-Ser
Rfam family: tRNA
About the family: Transfer RNA (tRNA) molecules are approximately 80 nucleotides in length. Their secondary structure includes four short double-helical elements and three loops (D, anti-codon, and T loops). Further hydrogen bonds mediate the characteristic L-shaped molecular structure. tRNAs have two regions of fundamental functional importance: the anti-codon, which is responsible for specific mRNA codon recognition, and the 3' end, to which the tRNAs corresponding amino acid is attached (by aminoacyl-tRNA synthetases). tRNAs cope with the degeneracy of the genetic code in two manners: having more than one tRNA (with a specific anti-codon) for a particular amino acid; and 'wobble' base-pairing, i.e. permitting non-standard base-pairing at the 3rd anti-codon position.
Source: RNAcentral